UACAGAGGUCCCGAGCGUUGUUCGGAAUCACUGGGCGUAAAGGGUGCGUAGGCGGUUCUGAAAGUCUGAUGUGAAAUCUCCGGGCCCAACCCGGAAAUGGCAUUAGAAACUACAGGGCUAGAGGCUUGGAGGGGGAACUGGAAUUCUCGGUGUAGCAGUGAAAUGCGUAGAGAUCGAGAGGAACACCAGUGGCGAAGGCGAGUUCCUGGACAAGUCCUGACGCUGAGGCACGAAAGCCAGGGGAGCAAACAGG
RNAcentral lists this ribosomal RNA (253 nucleotides) under uncultured bacterium. RNAcentral describes it as "partial 16S ribosomal RNA". It matches the Rfam family "Bacterial small subunit ribosomal RNA", at positions 524 to 776 of the family's 1533-position model. The record is from RNAcentral.